RNAcentral lists this ribosomal RNA (253 nucleotides) under uncultured bacterium. RNAcentral describes it as "partial 16S ribosomal RNA". It matches the Rfam family "Bacterial small subunit ribosomal RNA", at positions 524 to 776 of the family's 1533-position model. The record is from RNAcentral.
UACAGAGGUCUCAAGCGUUGUUCGGAUUCAUUGGGCGUAAAGGGUGCGUAGGCGGCGCGGUAAGUCGGGUGUGAAAUUUCGGAGCUUAACUCCGAAACUGCAUUCGAUACUGCCGUGCUUGAGGACUGGAGAGGAGACUGGAAUUUACGGUGUAGCAGUGAAAUGCGUAGAUAUGCGGAGGAACACCGAUGGCGAAGGCAAUCCCCUGGGCCUGCACUGACGCUCAUGCACGAAAGCGUGGGGAGCAAACAGG